RNAcentral lists this ribosomal RNA (253 nucleotides) under uncultured bacterium. RNAcentral's name for it is "partial 16S ribosomal RNA". It matches the Rfam family "Bacterial small subunit ribosomal RNA", at positions 524 to 776 of the family's 1533-position model. The record is from RNAcentral.
UACAGAGGGUGCGAGCGUUAAUCGGAAUUACUGGGCGUAAAGCGUGCGUAGACGGUUAUUUAAGUCGGGUGUGAAAGCCCCGGGCUCAACCUGGGAAUUGCAUUCGAGACUGAAUAGCUAGGGUACGGUAGAGGGAAGUGGAAUUUCCGGUGUAGCGGUGAAAUGCGUAGAUAUCGGGAGGAACACCAGUGGCGAAGGCGGCUUCCUGGCCUGUUCUUGACGCUGAGGCGCGAAAGCUAGGGGAGCAAACGGG